RNAcentral lists this unclassified non-coding RNA (1101 nucleotides) under Cimex lectularius (bed bug). RNAcentral describes it as "ras-related protein M-Ras-like, transcript variant X2". The record is from RNAcentral. Lineage: Eukaryota; Metazoa; Arthropoda; Insecta; Hemiptera; Cimicidae.
GAAACGAAAUAUACCUCACUGAGCAAGUACGGCACGGGGAGGAGUGAGAGCUAAGCUUAUUAAAGUGGAGGUUGUUAGUGUUUUAUUUUGAGAAUCGGCAUUUUGGUUGAAAGGAAAGAAACCGCUCCGAUUCAAGAAGGAGAUGACAUCGACCGGCCGAAUCGACUGACUCGUAUUUAAAUCCACCCAGAUUUUCGGCCUACAACACUCAAAAGCUAAUCCAUAGCCCAAAACAAUUUGGAACCCAAACAAUAUCAAAAUGAGUGCAAUUAGAUAGUCCUUAUAAAAGGAGAUCUAAAUCGUUCGUUUAAACAUUAAUCUUCUUGAAAAGUUCACGUGCAAUCGCAACAAUAGGUAGAAGGAGGGUGGGUAUGUCUCGUGCGCCAAAUGAAAAUCUUCCAACAUACAAACUGGUGGUUGUUGGAGAUGGAGGCGUUGGCAAAAGUGCGAUCACAAUUCAGUUCUUCCAGAAGUUGUUCGUGACAGAUUAUGAUCCUACGAUAGAGGAUAGCUAUAUACAACACACUGAAGUCGACGGACAUUGGUGUAUAUUAGAUGUACUGGACACUGCGGGUCAGGAAGAAUUUAGUGCAAUGAGGGAGCAAUACAUGAGAAAAGGAGAUGGGUUUCUUCUUGUUUAUUCUGUUACGGAUAAGCAGAGUUAUGAAAAUAUAGUUAACUUCCAUACGCAAAUUCUCAGAGUUAAAGAUAGAGAUAUAUAUCCAAUGCUUUUAGUAGCAAAUAAAGUCGAUUUGGUCCAUCUGCGGAAAGUGUCGGAAGAAGCUGGGAGAGAAUUAGCGUAUAAACUAGGAAUUCCUUACAUUGAAACAUCUGCGAAGGACCCACCUCUCAACGUAGAUGCAGCAUUUCAAGAAGUCGUGAGAAUAAUUAGGAAUCAACCACCAGUGGAACCGGAGAAAAAUCGGGGAAGAAGAAGGAGGUCUGGCAAAUGUUGUGUAAUAUGAACAGAACAUUACCUCAUUAAGACAAAAGUGGUUGUAAUAAAUUUAAUAACGAUGCGAGGAAAGACGUACUGACUACUUUCCGUCUUCCGAUAUGUCCUGGCAAUCCAGCACUUUGCCUGAGAAACUGUUUUACAGC